Oreochromis niloticus (Nile tilapia) is the source of this 527-nucleotide long non-coding RNA. RefSeq lists it as uncharacterized. The transcript is spliced from 3 exons. The record is from RefSeq and is a predicted model, not a curated record. Lineage: Eukaryota; Metazoa; Chordata; Actinopteri; Cichliformes; Cichlidae.
GGCUGUAAACACUACUUGAAAGUGAAGUCCAUCAAACAAAUGCUGCUGAUGCUCACAUAAGGAUGUUCCUUUUGUCUCUUUCCGUCUCUGUCGCCGACAAGCUGAAGCACAAAGGCUUCUCACAUGUGCCUAAGGGGAAACAGAAUGACACUGCAGUGGAAACUUGGCGAAGUGCAAAGAUAAAAGUGAAGAGUUUCAAGACCCACUUGACUGACCCCGAAGUUCUUCCUAGCACUCUUGACAGGAUGCGAAGAAAUAAAGAGGAAGCUGUCAAAAGCACAUAUAAUGGAGUCCACCUCUGCAUCUUCUGAAGGAUCUUUUUUUUUUAUAUUUUGUGAGUGAUAGAAGUGAGCGGUUGCACUCAGUGGACCCUAAGCAGGCACAUGCAUUGUUAUGUGAAAUGGAAGCAAUGAAAGGCGCCUGCACAUAAUGUGUAAUUACACCUCCUGGGUUUUAAUCCUGUUUUCUAGCAGUGUGAAAAGUACUGUAUGAGUUAUUUUACAUGCAAAUGCUCUGAUUUGAAAAGU